This is a long non-coding RNA of Piliocolobus tephrosceles (Ugandan red Colobus), 412 nucleotides long. RefSeq lists it as uncharacterized. The transcript has 3 exons. The record is from RefSeq and is a predicted model, not a curated record. NCBI's taxonomy places the organism in Eukaryota, Metazoa, Chordata, Mammalia, Primates, Cercopithecidae.
GCAAGAAGGGGCUCCUUAAACCACACCGGACGUUUGUGGUCCAGAAUUGGUCACCACCCUCAGGAUGUCACCAUGCAGUGCUUUGUGGACUGAAAUCCAUCUGUACUCACAGAUGUGGCUGAAUGCAGAAACACUCAAGACACCCCCAGACUCCAAAGCCUGACUGUGGUAUAAAAUCCUCAUUGCUUUUUCCCUCCUAUGUACCUGGAGCUACACAUGAAACUUCUUGGGAAUCUCUGUCUGCCACCCAGGCUGGAGUGCAGUGGUGCAAUGUGGCUCACUGAAGGUUUAAACUCUUGGACUCACGCAUUCCACCCAUCUCAGCCUCCUGAGUAGCUGUGAUUACAGAACAAGCUCCGCAAAAACAGGCAUUUUCAUCUGUCUUGUUGGCUGUGUUCUCUGCACCUAGAGC